UACGAAGGACCCAAGCGUUAUCCGGAUUCAUUGGGUUUAAAGGGUGCGUAGGCGGGAUAAUAAGUCAGUGGUGAAAUCCUGUAGCUUAACUACAGAACUGCCAUUGAUACUGUUAACCUUGAGUACAGCUGAUGUGGGCGGAAUAUGACAUGUAGCGGUGAAAUGCUUAGAUAUGUCAUAGAACACCGAUUGCGAAGGCAGCUCACAAAACUGUUACUGACGCUGAGGCACGAAAGCGUGGGGAUCAAACAGG
RNAcentral lists this ribosomal RNA (253 nucleotides) under uncultured bacterium. RNAcentral's name for it is "partial 16S ribosomal RNA". It matches the Rfam family "Bacterial small subunit ribosomal RNA", at positions 524 to 776 of the family's 1533-position model. The record is from RNAcentral.